Molecule: ribosomal RNA, 727 nt
Filed under: Escherichia coli
Lineage: Bacteria; Pseudomonadati; Pseudomonadota; Gammaproteobacteria; Enterobacterales; Enterobacteriaceae
Description: partial 23S ribosomal RNA
Rfam family: Bacterial large subunit ribosomal RNA
Source: RNAcentral
UUUAAUGUUUGAUGUUCUAACGUGGACCCGUGAUCCGGGUUGCGGACAGUGUCUGGUGGGUAGUUUGACUGGGGCGGUCUCCUCCUAAAGAGUAACGGAGGAGCACGAAGGUUGGCUAAUCCUGGUCGGACAUCAGGAGGUUAGUGCAAUGGCAUAAGCCAGCUUGACUGCGAGCGUGACGGCGCGAGCAGGUGCGAAAGCAGGUCAUAGUGAUCCGGUGGUUCUGAAUGGAAGGGCCAUCGCUCAACGGAUAAAAGGUACUCCGGGGAUAACAGGCUGAUACCGCCCAAGAGUUCAUAUCGACGGCGGUGUUUGGCACCUCGAUGUCGGCUCAUCACAUCCUGGGGCUGAAGUAGGUCCCAAGGGUAUGGCUGUUCGCCAUUUAAAGUGGUACGCGAGCUGGGUUUAGAACGUCGUGAGACAGUUCGGUCCCUAUCUGCCGUGGGCGCUGGAGAACUGAGGGGGGCUGCUCCUAGUACGAGAGGACCGGAGUGGACGCAUCACUGGUGUUCGGGUUGUCAUGCCAAUGGCACUGCCCGGUAGCUAAAUGCGGAAGAGAUAAGUGCUGAAAGCAUCUAAGCACGAAACUUGCCCCGAGAUGAGUUCUCCCUGACUCCUUGAGAGUCCUGAAGGAACGUUGAAGACGACGACGUUGAUAGGCCGGGUGUGUAAGCGCAGCGAUGCGUUGAGCUAACCGGUACUAAUGAACCGUGAGGCUUAACCUUAC